AGUUGCCAUCUGGUAAUGCAGGGACUCUAGCGAAACUGCCACCGUAAGGUGAGAGGAAGGUGGGAUGACGUCAAAUCAGCACGGCCCUUAUGUCCAGGGCUACACACGUGUUACAAUGGUCGGUACAGAGGGCAGCUACCUGGUGACAGGAUGCUAAUCUCGAAAACCGGUCUCAGUUCGGAUCGAAGUCUGCAACUCGACUUCGUGAAGCUGGAUUCGCUAGUAAUCGCGCAUCAGCUAUGGCGCGGUGAAUACGUUCCCGGGUCUU
Molecule: ribosomal RNA, 268 nt
Filed under: uncultured Sphingobacteriales bacterium
Lineage: Bacteria; Pseudomonadati; Bacteroidota; Sphingobacteriia; Sphingobacteriales
Description: partial 16S ribosomal RNA
Rfam family: Bacterial small subunit ribosomal RNA
Source: RNAcentral